UACGAGGGGGGGCUAGCGUUGUUCGGAAUCACUGGGCGUAAAGGGCGCGUAGGCGGACAGUUUAGUCAGAGGUGAAAGCCCAGGGCUCAACCUUGGAAUUGCCUUUGAUACUGGCUGUCUUGAGUUCGGGAGAGGUGAGUGGAAUGCCGAGUGUAGAGGUGAAAUUCGUAGAUAUUCGGCGGAACACCAGUGGCGAAGGCGACUCACUGGCCCGAUACUGACGCUGAGGCGCGAAAGCGUGGGGAGCAAACAGGG
This 255-nucleotide ribosomal RNA is filed under the name uncultured bacterium. RNAcentral's name for it is "partial 16S ribosomal RNA". It matches the Rfam family "Bacterial small subunit ribosomal RNA", at positions 524 to 777 of the family's 1533-position model. The record is from RNAcentral.